This 883-nucleotide ribosomal RNA is filed under the name uncultured eukaryote. RNAcentral describes it as "SSU rRNA". It matches the Rfam family "Eukaryotic small subunit ribosomal RNA", at positions 563 to 1466 of the family's 1831-position model. The record is from RNAcentral.
UGUGCCAAGCAGCCGCGGUAAUUCCAGCUCCAAUAGCGUAUAUUAAAGUUGUUGCGGUUAAAAAGCUCGUAGUUGGAUCUCGGCGGGCAGGGGGUGGUUCGCUCUUCAGCGCUACUGCCCCGCUUUGCCCGUGUGAUUGGCGGAGGUUUCGGGGUGCUCUUCGUUGAGUGACUCGGAGCGCCGUCAGGUUUACUUUGAAAAAAUUAGAGUGCUCAAAGCAGGCUUUUCACGCUUGAAUAUUCGUGCAUGGAAUAAUGGAAUAGGAACUCGUUUCUAUUUUGUUGGUUUUCGGAAAUCGAGUUAAUGAUUAACAGGGACAAUUGGGGGCAUUAGUAUUCAGACGACAGAGGUGAAAUUCUUGGACCGUCUGAAGACUGACUACUGCGAAAGCAUUUGCCAAGAGUGUUUUCAUUAAUCAAGAACGAAAGUUAGAGGUUCGAAGGCGAUCAGAUACCGCCCUAGUUCUAACCAUAAACGAUGCCAGCUAGCGAUCUGCCGAGUUUUUUUUGUAGGCUCCGCAGGAAGCUUUCGGGAAACCAAAGCUUUUGGGUUCCGGGGGAAGUAUGGUUGCAAAGCUGAAACUUAAAGGAAUUGACGGAAGGGCACCACCAGGAGUGGAGCCUGCGGCUUAAUUUGACUCAACACGGGAAAUCUCACCAGGCCCGGACACUGGAAGGAUUGACAGAUUGAGAGCUCUUUCUCGAUUCGGUGGGUGGUGGUGCAUGGCCGUUCUUAGUUGGUGGAGUGAUUUGUCUGGUUAAUUCCGAUAACGAACGAGACUCUGUCCUGCUAAAUAGUUGGGUCGUCCUUCGUGCGAUCCAAGUUCUUCUUAGAGGGACUGGCUGCGUCUAGCAGCACGAGAUUGAGCAAUAACAGGUCUGUG